Non-coding RNA from Pangasianodon gigas (Mekong giant catfish), 76 nucleotides. The record is from the annotation of a GenBank genome assembly. NCBI's taxonomy places the organism in Eukaryota, Metazoa, Chordata, Actinopteri, Siluriformes, Pangasiidae.
GGGCAGUCAUAGCUCAGUGGUUAAGACGUUGGACUACUGAUGGGAAGGUUGUGAGUUCAAAUCUCACCACAACCCU